AUUGAACGCUGGCGGCAUGCCUUACACAUGCAAGUCGAACGGCAGCAUGAUCUAGCUUGCUAGAUUGAUGGCGAGUGGCGAACGGGUGAGUAAUACAUCGGAACGUGCCCUGUAGUGGGGGAUAACUAGUCGAAAGAUUAGCUAAUACCGCAUACGACCUGAGGGUGAAAGUGGGGGGCCGCAAGGCCUCAUGCUAUAGGGGCGGCCGAUGUUGGAUUAGUUUGUUGGUGGGGUAAAGGUUCACCAAGGCGGCGAUCAGUAGCUGGUCUGAGGGGACGAUCAGCCACACUGGGACUGAGACACGGACCAGACUCCUACGGGAGGCAGCAGUCGGGAAUUUUGGACAACGGGCGAAAGCCUGAUCCAGCAAUGCCGCGUGUGUGAAGAAGGCCUUCGGGUUGUAAAGCACUUUUGUCCGGAAAGAAAUGGCUCUGGUUAAUACCUGGGGUCGAUGACGGUACCGGAAGAAUAAGGACCGGCUAACUACGUG
Molecule: ribosomal RNA, 490 nt
Filed under: uncultured bacterium
Lineage: Bacteria
Description: partial 16S ribosomal RNA
Rfam family: Bacterial small subunit ribosomal RNA
Source: RNAcentral